ACCUGAUCACUGUGAUGGUUAAGAUUGGUGUUCUGUUUGGGUGGACUGAGAUAGACCUACGUUACAUGUGUCUUUGAGGACAUUUCCAGGGAUGACUACAGUAUGAAGUUUCUGAGCACAUGAAGGGUUUUAGCUGUUGAAUGAUUUGGAAUCUAAACAGACUAUUGAGCAGGGAUGGAACUGUGAACAGUGGGACCUGGUUGGAAGAAAAGUCACUUGGGAUGUGUCUUAGUAGGCUGUUCCUUCUGCUCAUGGUCUCUUCUUUGUUGUGACUUUGCUCUGUUUCCUGGCUGCAGGAGGUAAGCUAUUGUACCACUUCCUCCUCUUUCCAUGCUGAGCCAAAUCUCUAGAUCAGUGAGAAAAACAUUUACCUUUCCUCCAUGGUUUAUGUAGAGCCAGUUUCUGUUGCUGCUGGUUUUCUUGUUGUUUGUUUACUUUUUACAGUGGGCAGCCGUAGCAAAUUAGCUCUUGCAGCUUCUCUUCUCCUUUUAGUGUUUAUAGCAGAAUCCCACAAUUGCUAUUUAAUGUUCACACACUUUGACAAGAAGCUGACCAUUGUUAGAGGCAAGUGCAGGUGACCACUAGGCUGAGGCUGAGAGCAUAGCAGCGCUCAGGGACAGAAUGGCAUGCCCAGACCUCAAACCCAGUCUCUGCAGCUUACAAAUCCAUUGUUUUAACCACAAAACUUCAGUGGUGUCCAUAUGCUUAAGUCUGUUUGGGGAGCUAAGUCUUUCCCCUGGUCAUGACAGGUCUACACGCUUCAGGUACGAUUUUUCUUUCUCAUCAGUGAACACCCUGUUAGCUUUAGGGGCACGGAGAAGAGUUGCCAAAUACUCUAAGGUCUUUGACUAAUUUUAUAUGAAGUUAUUUGAUUUCCUUGAUCAGUGAAAUCAUUGGUCUGAUUUCUUCCAUGUUGAUUGCUUGCAGGCAAUGGCCCACUGGGAUGAGAUGUUAUAAUAACUAACAGCAUUUAUGAAUCAGUUUGUGGGUUACGAUCUUUUGAGAGCUUCAGAGAAAAACUAGUCUAGCUUAUUUUUAUUGUUUAAAGGUUCAUACUCAAUAUUUUGAGGAUAUUCAAAGUAAAGGAAGAACAAGAUAACCACAUGUUCUUGUGACCGUUGCUUUUCCUAACUCCCAGACACUUGGCC
RNAcentral lists this long non-coding RNA (1148 nucleotides) under Mus musculus (house mouse). RNAcentral's name for it is "long non-coding RNA chr7:124215319-124216467". Lineage: Eukaryota; Metazoa; Chordata; Mammalia; Rodentia; Muridae. The record is from RNAcentral.